This is a long non-coding RNA of Trichomycterus rosablanca, 162 nucleotides long. RefSeq lists it as uncharacterized. NCBI's taxonomy places the organism in Eukaryota, Metazoa, Chordata, Actinopteri, Siluriformes, Trichomycteridae. The record is from RefSeq and is a predicted model, not a curated record. The transcript is spliced from 2 exons.
GGUCAAGAAGGACCUCCAAAGAUCUCCAAAGAGGUGGAUGAGGUUGAUGGAGAUGUCCCCCCUGCUGAAGCAACCUACGAGAAUCUACAGAGAGGAACCGACGAUCUGGACUCAGUUUACGAGAACCUCCGGCGUUAAAUAAAAUGCUUUUACACACAUGCA